UUGACCUCGAAUCAGGUAGGAAUACCCGCUGAACUUAAGCAUAUCAAUAAGCGGAGGAAAAGAAACCAACAGGGAUUGCCCCAGUAACGGCGAGUGAAGCGGCAACAGCUCAAAUUUGAAAUCUGGCUCUCGGGCCCGAGUUGUAAUUUGUAGAGGAUGCUUUUGGUGAGGUGCCUUCCGAGUUCCCUGGAACGGGACGCCACAGAGGGUGAGAGCCCCGUCUGGUUGGACACCGAGCCUCUGUAAAGCUCCUUCGACGAGUCGAGUAGUUUGGGAAUGCUGCUCUAAAUGGGAGGUAUAUGUCUUCUAAAGCUAAAUACCGGCCAGAGACCGAUAGCGCACAAGUAGAGUGAUCGAAAGAUGAAAAGAACUUUGAAAAGAGAGUUAAACAGUACGUGAAAUUGUUGAAAGGGAAGCGCUUGUGACCAGACUUGGGCUUGGUUGAUCAUCCGGGGUUCUCCCCGGUGCACUCUUCCGGCUCAGGCCAGCAUCAGUUCGCCCUGGGGGAUAAAGGCAGCGGGAAUGUGGCUCUCUCCGGGGAGUGUUAUAGCCCGCUGCGUAAUACCCUGUGGCGGACUGAGGUUCGCGCAUUCGCAAGGAUGCUGGCGUAAUGGUCAUCAGUGAC
RNAcentral lists this ribosomal RNA (625 nucleotides) under unidentified. RNAcentral describes it as "Fusarium solani-melongenae partial 28S ribosomal RNA". It matches the Rfam family "Eukaryotic large subunit ribosomal RNA", at positions 1 to 648 of the family's 3401-position model. The record is from RNAcentral.